This is a long non-coding RNA of Zonotrichia leucophrys gambelii, 699 nucleotides long. RefSeq lists it as uncharacterized. Lineage: Eukaryota; Metazoa; Chordata; Aves; Passeriformes; Passerellidae. The transcript is spliced from 2 exons. The record is from RefSeq and is a predicted model, not a curated record.
AGAGUGCUAUAAAAGAGUGGGGUGGCUGGUUGAGAAGGGAACUGGAGUUGGUUGGCUGCUUUGUAAAGAAGAAAGAGUCAGUGCCCAUAAGAAACACCAAGAAGCCCCAGCUUGGAAAAGAGAACACUACCACGAUGUGUCUGCCAUGGAAAACUCAAGAAAACUCCAGUGGAACUCUUGAAAAUUGUGGAGUGAAACUGCCUUAAUGGAAUCAACCAGGUCAUCUUCACUUCAAACAAGAACACCUGUGCAGACAGAUGAAAUUUAACUAAUUCCCUUCACCUUUAUAUUUCCAGGCAAUCUAGAUUACCUUCACAGGCCUUUGAAAAACCCUUACCACAUCAUGGUAAUUUCCUGCCAGCCUCUGGUGCCUUGCUCUUGUAUGUCUUUCCUCUUUUUGCCUGUACUUCUUGGCAGGGUUAAUGUAUUUUCUCCUGCUGUAAGAAACCUGGAAGAAGCAGACCACCCCUGUUGGACUCUGGCAGCAGCAGAACAAACAAGGUCUACAGCAGGUCUGCCUCAGAGUAAGGGCUGCAGCACUCCAUCCAAGCCACCCUGCAAGGGCAACAGCUAUCAGUUUUCUGGGAGAUGAGGCUGUCUGAGCAAAUCUGUUGCUGCAAGUCAGAUGCACAAUUCAGUAUUUCCUCAUACUUGGAAUACUUGGCACAGUGAUUAUGAAAAUAAAUAGCAAUUAACUCA